Molecule: ribosomal RNA, 1372 nt
Filed under: uncultured bacterium
Lineage: Bacteria
Description: bacterial SSU rRNA
Rfam family: Bacterial small subunit ribosomal RNA
Source: RNAcentral
GAUGAACGCUGGUUGCGUGCCUAAUACAUGCAAGUCGAGCGAACGGACGAGAAGCUUGCUUCUCUGAUGUUAGCGGCGGACGGGUGAGUAACACGUGGAUAACCUACCUAUAAGACUGGGAUAACUUCGGGAAACCGGAGCUAAUACCGGAUAAUAUUUUGAACCGCAUGGUUCAAAAGUGAAAGACGGUCUUGCUGUCACUUAUAGAUGGAUCCGCGCUGCAUUAGCUAGUUGGUAAGGUAACGGCUUACCAAGGCAACGAUGCAUAGCCGACCUGAGAGGGUGAUCGGCCACACUGGAACUGAGACACGGUCCAGACUCCUACGGGAGGCAGCAGUAGGGAAUCUUCCGCAAUGGGCGAAAGCCUGACGGAGCAACGCCGCGUGAGUGAUGAAGGUCUUCGGAUCGUAAAACUCUGUUAUUAGGGAAGAACAUAUGUGUAAGUAACUGUGCACAUCUUGACGGUACCUAAUCAGAAAGCCACGGCUAACUACGUGCCAGCAGCCGCGGUAAUACGUAGGUGGCAAGCGUUAUCCGGAAUUAUUGGGCGUAAAGCGCGCGUAGGCGGUUUUUUAAGUCUGAUGUGAAAGCCCACGGCUCAACCGUGGAGGGUCAUUGGAAACUGGAAAACUUGAGUGCAGAAGAGGAAAGUGGAAUUCCAUGUGUAGCGGUGAAAUGCGCAGAGAUAUGGAGGAACACCAGUGGCGAAGGCGACUUUCUGGUCUGUAACUGACGCUGAUGUGCGAAAGCGUGGGGAUCAAACAGGAUUAGAUACCCUGGUAGUCCACGCCGUAAACGAUGAGUGCUAAGUGUUAGGGGGUUUCCGCCCCUUAGUGCUGCAGCUAACGCAUUAAGCACUCCGCCUGGGGAGUACGACCGCAAGGUUGAAACUCAAAGGAAUUGACGGGGACCCGCACAAGCGGUGGAGCAUGUGGUUUAAUUCGAAGCAACGCGAAGAACCUUACCAAAUCUUGACAUCCUUUGACAACUCUAGAGAUAGAGCUUUCCCCUUCGGGGGACAAAGUGACAGGUGGUGCAUGGUUGUCGUCAGCUCGUGUCGUGAGAUGUUGGGUUAAGUCCCGCAACGAGCGCAACCCUUAAGCUUAGUUGCCAUCAUUAAGUUGGGCACUCUAAGUUGACUGCCGGUGACAAACCGGAGGAAGGUGGGGAUGACGUCAAAUCAUCAUGCCCCUUAUGAUUUGGGCUACACACGUGCUACAAUGGACAAUACAAAGGGCAGCGAAACCGUGAGGUCAAGCAAAUCCCAUAAAGUUGUUCUCAGUUCGGAUUGUAGUCUGCAACUCGACUACAUGAAGCUGGAAUCGCUAGUAAUCGUAGAUCAGCAUGCUACGGUGAAUACGUUCCCGGGUCU